Molecule: non-coding RNA, 148 nt
Filed under: Gorilla gorilla gorilla (western lowland gorilla)
Lineage: Eukaryota; Metazoa; Chordata; Mammalia; Primates; Hominidae
Source: Rfam by way of RNAcentral
GCCAGGUGUGGUGGCGGGCACCUGUAAUCCCAGCUACUCGGGAGGCUGAGACAGGAGAAUUGUUUGAACCCAGGAGGUGGAGGUUGCAGUGAGCUGAGAUCGUGCCACUGCACUCCAGCCUGGGUGACAGAGCGAGACUUCGUCUCAA